GGAAUUAUCGGCCUACAAUUCA
Molecule: non-coding RNA, 22 nt
Filed under: Arabidopsis thaliana (thale cress)
Lineage: Eukaryota; Viridiplantae; Streptophyta; Magnoliopsida; Brassicales; Brassicaceae
Source: RNAcentral